RNAcentral lists this long non-coding RNA (4058 nucleotides) under Volvox carteri. RNAcentral's name for it is "long non-coding RNA (VCAR_LNC000307)". Lineage: Eukaryota; Viridiplantae; Chlorophyta; Chlorophyceae; Chlamydomonadales; Volvocaceae. The record is from RNAcentral.
UUCAUCGUGCUCACCAAAGUACGCAAGUGUACGCACGAAGGCUUGCACAUGUACCGGUUAGGCACGGACGCACACUGCUCUUGGGCACCUGGGGCCCCCCGUUGUCCUCACCUCCGAGCCGUAGUUGAAGCGGAACAAUCUGGGCUCAACCCGAUUGUAAAUCUGCGGGGCAAGCGUGGUGAGGCAGGUCAAGAUACCAUGAUCAGUUAGAGGAGUGAGGGAGACGGAUUGUCAAGGAAUUACACCACCGGUUGGUUUGCAGGUACCUUCGCACUCCCCAGCGGCAUAUACGAAUGCUGUCCAUAUUCCGCGCGCUGGCAAUUCUGAAUGGGCUUUGUCACGAGAUGCUGCAAUGAGAAAUGGGUCGCUAGUUUGUUUCUGAGCAGCGUGAGCGGCGGGGUUACGUUUGACCUCAAUUAGUGACUUCCUUGGCAGGCAGGCAGGCAGGCAGGCAACCGCGUGGGACUACUCAGCCGCCUGGUCGAGCUCUGAGCAUAGAUGACGCGGCACGCACCUCAACCCACUGGUAGGUGUUGUAAAGGCUGGUGGACGAAGGCCAGCCGUGCCAGUACCUCCUGCAGGCAAAGCUCGCACCGCAUGUGCGCGCAGGGCAAGGGCGGGUGCGAACAAUGUGCGAUCACAACGGGUGUUCCCCUUACCUCGCGGACAUGAUAAUUCCUGAUGCGGGUGAUGGGGAACCAAGCUUAAGUACUUACUUAAGUGUGCCAUCAGCCAGGACAUUGCGCAGCGGGUUGCUGUGCAAUUUGGAUUAGCCGUAUGUAUGGUGAGCUGGUGCGUGUGUUCAUUACGGUACCUACGAAUUACCGUGGAUGUUGCACCGGAUGCUGUUAAAGCCAUGAAGGCCUCAACAUUGGCCGCUGCAGGUGGGUGAUAAUGAAUCGCUAUCAGAGGUCGAUUGUGUGGGUGGUCACGUACCCUUCAAUGAGGCCCCCUCUUCUCCCAAACCCAUGCUUUGCUAAUGUCCGGGUUGUUUAUGGAUGUCACAAGAAUCGUACUUCAAACGAGCAACGGAGUCCGGGAGAGCCGUGCGUACUUAUAAUCGGCGUUGGUGAUGAAGCGGGACGGCCCGAAGAGGUGAGCACUCAAAGCCUGCAUGGAGGGAUAGGAUAGACACGCAUAAGGUCAUUUUCGGCCCUUGCGCAUCCUAACGCCUAAGCAUAUACCGCCUGUGAACAACAUGCAAGAGCAAGAGCACCACGUGCAGCUUUCCUGUACGUUUCAGUUAGGCUUACCGCGCAAAUCGACGUAUGUAUUGGCAGUUGGCAAAUGCCGUUGGGGAUGAGUUGCUGCAGCAGGAAACUCAUGAAGAGGAAUUCCUGGGGCGGCAGCAGGUUGGCUUUUACGCUAGCCUGCAACAGGAUCGCGUGGAAAGGGCACAUAGAAUAGGUAGAAUAUCAAGCACGUCAUUCUCAUGCAGGGUCCAGGGGUGAGGGUAGGCAGUUAUGAGAGAGGUGCGUUGUAGGGACCUACUAGUGCCGACUAGUACGGUACGGACUACUUGUGUAGUCAACCGUGUACGGUUUUUACGGGUUCUCACGGUCGCCCCCACGAUGCAAGUGCACGAUGCAUUAUACGUGCCAUGUAUCACUGGGCUCACACUCUUCACCAGCCCCACGCAAGUAGCCAACCAUCGGCAUCGUGCUAUCGUGUGUGCGUGUACAGUCUCCCUGAAUAAAGCUUAUGCAUUUAACUUCAGGAAUCAGCAGUGCAUGUUGCGCUUUACGACAGCAGUUCCGUACCCAGGAAGUUCCAUACCCAGCUGUGAUGGUCAUACAUAGUUUGAAGACGGUGAAAGAGAAGCAAGCAACACGCAAAACGGGGCCAUUCCCAGCCGUCCGAGUGUAGGAAACGGCCCUCUCAGCCCUCCGACGCCUGUCCGCGACUCGCCCUGCCACUCUGCCUCCCGCACCAAGUCCCGCCACUUACAUUUACUAUGAGAGAAUAAGCGAUUGGGAUUCCCACUUUCAUGUUGGUGAUGAACACACUUGGCCCCAGCGAAAUUACCACUCCCACGCUGUCCGUUAGGUUGGUCUGGGAGCUCAGCGUCAUCAGGGGGAUGGUGCAGCCCUGGCUAUGGCCCACGAUUCCCACCUGCAAAUGAAGCAACCGCAGACAUCCGGGGUUGCGAUUGUGUCGAUACCCAGCAUGCUCGCAACAGCGAGCCCCGGUGCGUACCAGGGACCAUUUGAUCCCUGUGGGUUAACUGAAUCAGUUCCUCGUUACUCUUAACUCCUCGUGCCUGGCGAGGGGUUCCCUGACCAUCCCCCAUGCAAAGGAAUGUCUCCUCUGCUGUACCUCCCCUCAGCUCGGUACCUAGAGAAUUGGGUUAAGCGGUAUGGGGCGAGGUCUUUUCUGGGGGUCUAUCGCAACAAGAUUUCUGGGUAUUUUACGUGCAGUACACAGCUCCCUACGUUUAUUGUAAGGUCAGGGAAGAUGCCCGGUCGCGAGGAAGGGAAACAAGUCUUCAAGGGGCUCAGAGACUUUGAUGAACCUCGUCGGUUUUCAAAGUCCUGCGUUCGGCAUACACAGCGAUUGUGCCUGUUGGGUAUGGUGCGAUGUAUGGGGUUGGCCUGCUCUUUUUAGUGCUGUGUCCUUCGUAGUAGGUCGCUUAGCAAGCUUUCAGUCAGAUCUUACUCCGCCAUGUCACGCUGCACCAGCAACGUUCGGUUCCUGGCGUACGUUUCCCAGCGGCCAUAACUCCCCCUUCACCCCCAUCGUCAUAUUGUUUUUGGAGGCACUCUUCUUCGGCCUGCAGGUACCCGGCAAGCGGCGUCCCCAUGCCUUUGCUGGAAACCUGCGCAACCGCUAUAUAGCUGCCUACCGCCAACGGCUGCAUUUACCUUGGGCAUGCCCGUCACAUUCUUCAUGUAGUGGAUGAUAACGGGCAGGUCAAUCUCAGCCAUCUCGUCCUGCAACAUGUAUUUUUCGUUAGCGCAGGGAAUCAGGGCAUUGCACUUGGUGUUCACCGUACAUGCCCCUAUGGAACACAUCACUUUGUACGGGUACAUACUCUCCGGAUGGGAGUACGAGGAUGUGGGUCAAACUUUAACAUGCGCCAAGUCAACAUUCAAGUCAAAAGAAGUCGCACACUAGAGAACCCAUUACCCAACAUAAGCCACUCACAAGUGCGAAGUUCCAGAACUCGGUCUGCUUGUCACUGUAACGGACGUGUUCCCGUGAAAAGAUAUUUCCCCGGGUAUUCGCCAACCAGACGUCGUAGCCUGAACCGCAUAUUUAGUACGACAGUACGUCAGUGCCGAUUGUCCAGCAUGGCAAGUACUUAUGGAUGCGGGCGGCAGCCCUCAUUGGCCCAGCACGCAGUCCCGUGCAUGCAUUUGUGGCUGCUGGGACGCAUGAGACACGCUUCCGCAUGCAGGCAUGUUCAACUUCUUGAGCAAUAGCAGCCGGUCAGCAGCACAAUUCAUUGCAAUACAACCUCAAGACAUACCCCGGUGUGUGCAGCACGCCGCCGAGAAUUCCAGGCGGCCUAUGUUUCACUAACCUACCGUACCUACAAAUCUAUAAAUAAUCCCAGACGGCCUAUGUUUCACUAACCUACCGUACCUACAAAUCUAUAAAUAAUCCUAAUAACUUUGCCACAGGCCGCGGUCCACUGGCUGCAGCCUUGCGUGUGCUAAGGGGGAGGGUAACUGAGGGCCGUUUCGGCCCCGACAUACCCCUUAACAUGACCAAGCCCUAUCCUACCUAUCCUACCGAAGUCUAUCUAUCUCGUGCCCAGAAACGCUGCCCGUUUGCCGGGGGCCGGGUGGAACGAGUCCCCUGACUGGCGUGCGAGCCCAGCGCAACACACUUAACACUUGGCAAUUAACCCCAGUGCAACCCCAUGUGCAGUGCGCUCAUGCUCCGCUCCCAAAGCCUCGCGUGCACAUCUAUCCCGUGGACAGUAAACCCAAAAGAUCUGUACCCCGGUCUGCCAGGAAGAAGGCGAGGCUCUCGUCCGGACCGUUGACAACCCAGCUGGUGCUGGCGAGCGAGAUACCGUGGAUGAGCAGGACGGGCGGGCGCUUGGCAGUGCC